Molecule: long non-coding RNA, 473 nt
Filed under: Ananas comosus (pineapple)
Lineage: Eukaryota; Viridiplantae; Streptophyta; Magnoliopsida; Poales; Bromeliaceae
Description: long non-coding RNA (ACOM_LNC001533)
Source: RNAcentral
AGAGCAAGAGAAGGUUCUAAAUUCAAAUCUCGACCAGCUCCCAGUUUCGUAUAAUUUUCUAUCAUUUAAUUUAUGCCAACUUCGUGGGAGUGAAUGUUUUGAAUAUAAAAUAUUAAAAAUAUUAUUCUGCAAAGUUUUUGCAGAUUAUUUAUAGGCUAGCAAUCUAUCAAAUACAUGAAAGGGCAUUUUUUAAACUAUGUAUGUGCACUUAUAAUAGAACUAGGCUGAAAUACUAUCAAUAACACCAAACAAUUAGUGCUAUUAGUUUUUUAGCCCUUGGAUUGAGAAAUGUGUGGUUAGGAUGACGUGGGCCGCAUAAGGUUGAGUGGGUGGUUGGUUGAAUAGUAUAAUUUAACGGGUAAAAAUAAAUAAAGAGUUAAAUCUAGUGGUGGAAAACUCGAUAGUACCAAAUCCUUGGUGCUAUUGAUAGUAUCACAGCCGGACUCCCUAUAAUAACCCUCCACAUUAUAUUU